AUUGCAAUAAAAAUUCAUUGAAUUUAAAUGACUACUGUAGCUCUCAUAUACCAAUAUAAUCUAAACCAAUAACACCACUGUCAUUAUCAUUUACACAAAGUAUGUUUUUUGUAGUGCACCAAUUGUUUUGCCAAUCCGUUAACACAGGUCUAAAUAAAUAAGAAGAUGUGGUAUGAGACAGCUCUGUAUUCAAGUCACAAUGAGUUCACAUUUUAACGUUUCAUAUUUACCCAAUCGAUUUGAAGGUCACAUGCGGACAACAAUUCUAUCUUCAACAAUGAGGAAAAUGCAGUAGUAGAACGGAUGACUGAAAGCACAUCAGUAGAAUUAAUGUCAAAUAUUGGAUGAGAAAAGGACGGAUGAUGUAUCUGAAAGGACGGAAGAUGUAGCUGAAACAAAACUUAUUUUGAUUUGAAAACCUAAUUGCUAAAAAAGAAAUACAAAUAAUAUAAGUAACAAGUGCGAAAAUAAUGCACUGAUGAAGAGAUGAUCAUAGUUUCGAAAAAAAAGAAAAAUUCUAUCGUAAAAUGCAACAAAUUUGUUCACUUAGAACAUAACUAUAAUAAAUACUUUCAUACUAUUACUCUUGUUCAUCAUAUUUGUUGUUUUAUUCGAACCACUGGACCAAUCUACACAAAAUAUUGACAGCAAUAUUAAAAGGUGAUCUAUAACUAGUGCAAACAAUAUAAUAAUAAAAUAUAUAUAGUAACAAGAAUGAUAUAUUUAAGACGAUUGUCUUCACAUCUUCAGAAAUAAUGUUUAUUAAGCAACUGUAUAAUGUCUAGUGAAUUAUAUUCAUUUUGAAUGAAUCAAUAAAUAAUGAUAUAAUUUAUAUGCUAAAAAUAAAAGCCUCUAGAAAUCUCUAUUAUAUUAUUAAUUCCUUUUCAAGGAUAUUUCGUUUCAACCUUUCACACAUGUAUGCAAGUGACAUAAAAUUAAUACAAGUAAAAUUCGUUUUUAACAUUUGCAUAAAUAUCUUUAUACGCCGACGGUAUAUAUCGUUUGGUUUGUAAAACAUAUCCACUAAUGUUUACUAGAAACAACUACUGUAUACCAAGCUUUUAUGCAUACUGCCUUUGUCUUUAGUGUACAUACUGAAGUCGUCAUUAUUUCGAGAUUAUAUAUGAAAGAUUCUUAACUGAUCAGAUCGAUACAGAGCACAAAAACCCUAACAAAAACUCAGAUCUGAGAGUACUCGUCGUUACUUAAAGCUAGCUCAACGCCAGAAACAACUAAUAAAAUAAAUAUAUAAUCCUGUCUCUAAGACCCAAAUGUUUAAUUUGUAAAAUGUUUAUAUAUACUAUUUUAGCCAUUCCUGCAUAAGCUACCGAAAUAAAAAAAUUACGAGGACUGAUUAAUCAAAUGCUCCUAUCAAGCUUCUAUGCAUACUGCCUUUGUUUAAAACGAACCAUCUUUUCAUUUGAAUACAAAAAGACGUAUACUGUAAAUUUAAUUAUUCUUUCAAGUCAAUUACAUAAUUAAAUGCAUGUUUUUCCUUGUCAGAGAGUUUCAUUUGCUCUUAAGCUGUAGUUUUCUGACAUACAUUCUGGUAAAUUUCCAGAUGAUGAAUUUGUUUAGUUUCUACAGACAUUUGAGUUCGAAGAAUUUCAUGAUGGUUGACUAUAGACGAUUCCAACCUCUCUUAUAAUGUUAAUUAUCGUUAUUUCAGUUUACUAUGCUAAUUAUAUAUUUAUUUUCUCCUUAUCAAAUAUAGAGUAUACUUCAUACAAUGUAUGCCUUUCCUGGUAGAGCAAUGAAGAAUUAAUAAUAAAAUUUAGCACGCAAUAAAUUUAGUUUAAUUGUGAAUUAGCACUAUUUCUAUACAAGCUACAUGUAAAUGCAGACACAUUCCAAGCAUAUGAUUUUUAAUAUUGUACUAACAAAAAUAUAUCAUAACAUAAAAUGGCACUGGUGUCAUACGAACAAUAAUUUCAAAGACCAUGUAUUGAAAAUGAGAUAUACACAUUCUAAGAUAUCGUAUAAAUAAUUACUGCAUACCUAGUAAGUAAUUCAAAGAGUUAUCGUUUUAUUGCACAACCUUAUACAUUUU
RNAcentral lists this long non-coding RNA (2050 nucleotides) under Mytilus galloprovincialis (Mediterranean mussel). The record is from RNAcentral. Lineage: Eukaryota; Metazoa; Mollusca; Bivalvia; Mytilida; Mytilidae.